ACGCUACGAGUAUUUGAGACCAUCAAAAUUAGUACCGGUGCAAUAAUUAGUUUCUCCAGCUCGUCAACACGGCAACACCGUUGCUAUUGUUUUAGCACGAACUUAUUUAGGGGGUCAGAGAGCUUAUAGUAAAGAUAAACACACUGCAAAUCAAUUUUACACUUAUGUUUGAAUUUUGAUGUCUGAAAGCGUCAUUUACUCACUUAACUUCGGCGACUAGAUGUCGCACGUUGUGAGAAUAGAGCGACGUUUUGAAAUAUUGCGCCAAAAUUCGUAAUCCAUCGAAUACCGCGCUGCAAAUAGCGCGCGAACGGAUUUGAUUGGCCGUUCACGCACCUGAUGAAAAAGCUCAAAGCUUGCUGUUUUGAGGUUAUGUUAUGAAAUGUCUCGCCCGUAGCGCCCUAUUUUAUUCUUAAUUCAUGUCAUGAAACCAAUAAAAUUUUCUCUUCCCUGUAAAUUCUCUCGUCUGUACAUGUUAAAUAAGUUGAGUUUACUCUCUAGUCUUGUCAAAUUCUACUGUGUGCGUGAAAUUAAAGUGUUUCUUGGAGCUGCUAUCCCUUAGAAACUUCAUGGAUUGUCACCUUAUUUAUGGGACUCGAAGCUUUCCACAAAACACAUAUACGCUGUAGAAUUGUGACAUUGCUCCCUAUGUUUUGAUGAUGGAAUUGCUUCUUAAAUCUUGGAGUGUUGAUCAGAACAUAAUUGACAAAUUUAUCGAAGCAGAUAUUGACUUGGAACUUUUGAAAGGCUUGGAAGAUAAAGAUUAUUUAUCAUUUUUUCCAACUGUAGGUAGCAAAAUCAGGUUUCGUUGCAAACUUGAAGAAUGGAAAAUAAGAGUGCGGCACAAGAAGCAGCUUCAUCCAAGGAGUCUGAUGAAUCUGUUUCCCAUGAAAACGAGGAAGUAGUUAGCAACUCGGAACCAACAAUGGCUAUCAACUCGCAGCUACAACGCCCAUCUAAUGUUGCCGGCAUGAGAUAUAAGCCACCGUCUCAUGAUGCUAUUAGGAACGACUCCAUUCUAGAAACCAUAGCCCAAAACUUGUCCGCUGAUUCGGAAAACACAAGUCUGAAAGAAAGUCUCAGUAACGUAGAUGACCUGAAACAACUUCUCAGAGAUUCUAUUCUUGGUUGUGGAAUUCUAUCCUAUUACGAGUCAAAUCAGUGCUUAACCAAAUUUUACGAGAAAGAAGUUUCUAAGAUUGUAAUUACUCACGAAUUACAGUGUGACAGUAGGAGUAAGAUCACAUCAGCCAAAUUAUUAAUAUUAAGAGAUUUGCUUGUACAAGUAUUUCCCUCAAUUGAGGCAGAGAAAUGGUAUUCUCCUUUUAAAGUGGGACCAAGUGGUGAGAGGCACUAUGCCGCAGGAAAACUCCAAGAGCAGUAUUUGUACAUAAGGAAAAUUCUUUUAGGAAGUGGUUUGACUGUCAGCUUGAAGAGGCAGAAAGGGAACCAGCCAUCACAGUAUUCUGGAGCUGGAGAAGGAUCCAGUGGUUACAAUAUGUUUGAUUUUCUAUCUUAUGAUGAUGAUUCGAGGCCUGAAAUGAGUUUUGUCGAAAACUGUUACAUCACCUGGCUUUCCUAA
Molecule: long non-coding RNA, 1582 nt
Filed under: Bemisia tabaci
Lineage: Eukaryota; Metazoa; Arthropoda; Insecta; Hemiptera; Aleyrodidae
Description: lncRNA ENSSWEETPG005574
Source: RNAcentral